This 253-nucleotide ribosomal RNA is filed under the name uncultured bacterium. RNAcentral's name for it is "partial 16S ribosomal RNA". It matches the Rfam family "Bacterial small subunit ribosomal RNA", at positions 524 to 776 of the family's 1533-position model. The record is from RNAcentral.
UACGUAGGGACCAAGCGUUGUCCGGAAUCAUUGGGCGUAAAGAGCGUGUAGGCGGCUUGUUAAGUCUUGCGUGAAAUCUCGGGGCUCAACCCCGAGCGGUCGUGAGAAACUGGCAGGCUAGAGUGCGGGAGAGGAGAGUGGAAUUCCUGGUGUAGCGGUGAAAUGCGCAGAUAUCGUAAGGAAGACCAGUGGCGAAGGCGGGUCUCUGGACAGUUCCUGACGCUGAGGCACGAAGGCCAGGGGAGCAAACGGG